This is a non-coding RNA of Pelobates cultripes (western spadefoot toad), 238 nucleotides long. NCBI's taxonomy places the organism in Eukaryota, Metazoa, Chordata, Amphibia, Anura, Pelobatidae. The record is from the annotation of a GenBank genome assembly.
CAAUAGGUUAACCAGCAGCACACUUCUCUUCUGGGUGGCGGUCCGUUCGACAGUUUUGUUCGGUAAAAAAGUAAAUUCACUUAAAUCCAGGCAUACGAAUGGGGGAGUUCGUGAAACAAGCAAACAGACGUACCCAGCAAUCUUAGUUCAUACGGAUGGGUCUGCCACACGGCUCCCCCCUUGUGGAACACUCCGGCAGACCAGGCUUGACCCUUUGGCGGGUCAACUUGGGGAUGAC